RNAcentral lists this ribosomal RNA (452 nucleotides) under uncultured bacterium. RNAcentral's name for it is "bacterial SSU rRNA". It matches the Rfam family "Bacterial small subunit ribosomal RNA", at positions 29 to 524 of the family's 1533-position model. The record is from RNAcentral.
AACGAACGCUGGCGGCAGGCUUAACACAUGCAAGUCGAACGGUUGUAGCAAUACAGCAGUGGCGCACGGGUGAGUAACGCGUGGAUAUCUGCCUUUUGGUUCGGAAUAACUCCGGGAAACUGGAGCUAAUACCGGAUGGUUCCCUGCGGGAUAAAGAUUUAUCGCCAAAAGAUGAGUCCGCGUACGAUUAGCUAGUUGGUGAGGUAAUGGCUCACCAAGGCGACGAUCGUUAGCUGGUCUGAGAGGACGAUCAGCCACACUGGGACUGAGACACGGCCCAGACUCCUACGGGAGGCAGCAGUGGGGAAUAUUGGACAAUGGGGGCAACCCUGAUCCAGCCAUGCCGCGUGAGUGAUGAAGGCCUCGGGUUGUAAAGCUCUUUUGGCGGGGACGAUGAUGACGGUACCCGCAGAAUAAGCCCCGGCUAACUUCGUGCCAGCAGCCGCGGUAAU